Pelobates cultripes (western spadefoot toad) is the source of this 233-nucleotide non-coding RNA. Lineage: Eukaryota; Metazoa; Chordata; Amphibia; Anura; Pelobatidae. The record is from the annotation of a GenBank genome assembly.
GCGAGUUUUACCUAAGAUGACGCUGGCGGAGCUGAGUGAGGAGGAGGCCUCCGAGGCGUCCCGAGAUGAGGAGGAGGCUCCCGCCUCUCCUCUGACACCUGGUCCCUACAAUGAGUCUGAAUCAGAUAAAGACUUGUCACCAGCAACAAGAUAGGAUAUUAAGGACCUCUUGCUGGAAAUGAGACAGGUGUGGAAAGCAGACCUGUGUGCAACUCAAGCAGAGAUGGGGUCCC